CUCUUAUCCCGAGCUGGUGGAGGGACAGGCCCAAUGAAACCCAGCAACCUGCUGUAGAAGAAAUACCUGUGAAAGGUGAAUUCUCCUUAAGCGAAGGUGCUAACCUGAAGCAAGGAAACAGUCCUUGAACGAUAAGAG
This 138-nucleotide non-coding RNA is filed under the name Bacillus sp. (in: firmicutes). RNAcentral describes it as "Bacillus sp. SAM-I sequence". It matches the Rfam family "SAM riboswitch aptamer (S box leader)". Rfam says of the family: The SAM riboswitch is found upstream of a number of genes which code for proteins involved in methionine or cysteine biosynthesis in Gram-positive bacteria. The SAM riboswitch acts at the level of transcription termination control. The record is from RNAcentral. RNAcentral also lists the same sequence under 1 other name. Lineage: Bacteria; Bacillati; Bacillota; Bacilli; Caryophanales; Bacillaceae.